This is a long non-coding RNA of Venturia canescens, 388 nucleotides long. RefSeq lists it as uncharacterized. The record is from RefSeq and is a predicted model, not a curated record. NCBI's taxonomy places the organism in Eukaryota, Metazoa, Arthropoda, Insecta, Hymenoptera, Ichneumonidae. The transcript is spliced from 2 exons.
CUACAGAGAAAUGCACUAUAUUUCCAAUGCACCAAGGCUGUAGGAAAUCAUCGAUCUAACAAACUUGUUCCUAUUUUCAUUAAAUAAUAAUAAAAGUGUUUAUGACUGGAGAGGCAUAAGAAAAUAACUGGUCGUCAGCUGGGAAAAACGCCGCGGUGUGUGCCAAAAUGACCGAGGGAGAAAGUGCAGAGAUGUUGCAGAUACCAGAACACGAGUAAACGACACAAAAUACGUUUCUAUUUCAACAUAUUUUUUCUAGACGCAUCUUAUUAAUCGUUUGUAAAUAAAUCGUAUGACGACCAAACAUGAAAAUUCUAUAAUUAAAAACACAUGAUUGUGAAAUCAAAUUUAAUCGAUGAGAAGUAAAUAUAUAUAGCCUUUUCACACA